This 461-nucleotide ribosomal RNA is filed under the name uncultured bacterium. Its description in RNAcentral is "partial 16S ribosomal RNA". It matches the Rfam family "Bacterial small subunit ribosomal RNA", at positions 338 to 795 of the family's 1533-position model. The record is from RNAcentral.
CCUACGGGUGGCAGCAGUGAGGAAUAUUGGUCAAUGGGCGAGAGCCUGAACCAGCCAAGUCGCGUGAAGGAUGAAGGAUCUAUGGUUUGUAAACUUCUUUUAUAUGGGAAUAAAGUGAGGAACGUGUUCCUUUUUGUAUGUACCAUAUGAAUAAGCAUCGUCUAACUCCGUGCCAGCAGCCGCGGUAAUACGGAGGAUGCGAGCGUUAUCCGGAUUUAUUGGGUUUAAAGGGUGCGUAGGUGGCAUAAUAAGUAGCUAGUGAAAUCUGGUGGCUCAACCAUUCAGACUAUUAGCUAAACUGUUAAGCUCGAGACCGUUAGGGGUAACUGGAAUUUCUAGUGUAGGAGUGAAAUCCGUAGAUAUUAGAAGGAACACCAAUAGCGUAGGCAGGUUACUGGGACGGUUCUGACACUAAGGCACGAAAGCGUAGGGAGCAAACGGGAUUAGAUACCCUUGUAGUC